CUGAGUUGGUGUUUAAAGUAAGCGUCUCGAUGCUCUCUCUUCAUCUGGUGAUGGUGAAAUGGCUCUGUUCAUCCUCAUCUCUUUCCAUCUGAUUCUGCAAGUUCAGCCGCAAAAUGCUCCUCAGCUCUCAGUGUCCACUUCAGGGAGAAGCUCAGUCCAGCUGAACUGCACACCUCCGUAUGCUGGACUCUCUCAGUGUUAUUUCUAUCCAGAAGGACAUGAGAGAAAUUUGAAGUUUCCAUCCUGUCAGCUCUCACUCACUGGAGCUGAACUGACCGCAUGGGCUGGACGCAGUUACAGUUCACUCCAACCCGUCAACGUUAUUUGCUAUUACUCUGUGAAAAUAUCAGAUAGACAGCGUCUGUCUCCUCACUCUCUCCCAGCUCCAGUGAGAACACUGGGUGAGAAACCAACAAUGACGGUAAGUUAUGAUGAUCGACGUCACGAGUCCAGGCUUGUGUGUGAAAUAUCACUGUCACUCGGUGCUGAUGUUGGGUGUGAUUUCUACAUUGGAGAUGAGAAGAUAAAGUGGAUGAUGUCUCAGAGGACCAGAUCUGGAUCACUGGCUUGUAGUUUUACAGCUCAGAGGGAUUUUCUGUUCAGUCGUAUGAAAUCAGCGAAGAGCAGAGAAGUGAGCUGUGAUUAUUCACUGAUCUCUGACCAAACCGUCCAGUCUCCACUCAGUGACUCACACAGCCUCACACAACUUCCUCCUUUACCAACUCCAAAAACUACAACACAAUUAACAAAACCGAAAUCUACUACAGAAGCUUUAGAUACUGUGGCCACACGCCCCAGGGAAACCACAAAAGACGCUCUAACAACGCAUCCCAAACAAGAUGAUCACAUCGAAAAAUUGUUCAGAAGAAUUUCUCUCAUACUGAUGUUGACCACCUGUGUCAGCGCUUUACUGGCUGGAGUGAUCGUCUGUCUGCGCAGAUUUAUCAGAAAGCAGAGGACAGUGAGAACAGCGUCCCAAAUUGAAACUUCUCAGUGAUUGAAUCUGUGCCCACGCCAUCUCAGCCUUCAGUCACUUCCUCAGGAGAAAUUACACUCCAAGUCUGAGAUCAAAAGAGAUUUAUUUCAAAGGGGCAUUAUGACGUCGUGUAUCAUUUUACUGCAGCAUUCCUGAUACAGUGACAGACUCUUAGCUCCACAGCCUGCAGCUGAUUCAGCACCACUGUGUAUUUAAACAAGCCAUGAACUCAGUAUGUCUUUAGGGGUCUUCCCUGUUUUGAAUAUUUGUCAUGAAGUCUGAUGUUUUAAUCUUUGUAAAUAAAUAAACUGUAAUACUUCAAAUAAAAUGCAGUGUGUUUAACAUUA
Pygocentrus nattereri (red-bellied piranha) is the source of this 1323-nucleotide RNA transcript. RefSeq lists it as uncharacterized. Lineage: Eukaryota; Metazoa; Chordata; Actinopteri; Characiformes; Serrasalmidae. The record is from RefSeq and is a predicted model, not a curated record. The transcript has 11 exons.